RNAcentral lists this ribosomal RNA (339 nucleotides) under Triticum aestivum (bread wheat). Its description in RNAcentral is "partial small subunit ribosomal RNA". The record is from RNAcentral. Lineage: Eukaryota; Viridiplantae; Streptophyta; Magnoliopsida; Poales; Poaceae.
AUGGCUGAAGCUCUAGCCUUAAAAUUCGGCCUAUCGUUGGCGCACGGGACAGGUUGCAACCGCAUAAUUAUUAACUCAGAUAACAUGGAGGUGAUCGACACCAUGAAGGAAGGAGGACGAUCGUCGGCGGCAGCGGCUGCAAUUUUUUAUGAUUGUUUUCACUUAGUUUGUGAUUUACUUGUUUCUACAUUCGAGCACUGUAAUAGAGAAGCAAAUAAAGUUGCUCAUGAACUUGUCAAAUUGGCUAGAUUUUCUUUCAAUUCUGAAUGGUUCGAGGAGCCACAUAAUGAAAUUGUACCAAUGCUCAUAAACGAUGUAACGAUUAUUUCUAAUGAAUAA